Molecule: non-coding RNA, 230 nt
Organism: Pelobates cultripes (western spadefoot toad)
Lineage: Eukaryota; Metazoa; Chordata; Amphibia; Anura; Pelobatidae
Source: the annotation of a GenBank genome assembly
CAGUAUAAAACGAUAUGCAAUACAAAGAAAUGGGUAUUACGUUACAAUGGCUAAAUAGCAUUUCCUGUCAAGAAUUCUGACGAUUUAUGAGGUAUCCUUACACAGAUUGAAAGUGAAACUUUUCACAGCGAAGAACAGAAUUCCUCAAAGUGCAGCGUGAGGUCGUAAAGUUUAGCCGACAGUUAGAAUAACCCUUUCAAUGCUGGCUAGAUCUCCUAGGUAGUUAAGAU